UACGUAGGGUGCAAGCGUUGUCCGGAAUUAUUGGGCGUAAAGAGCUCGUAGGCGGUCUGUCGCGUCGGCUGUGAAAACCCGGGGCUCAACCCCGGGCCUGCAGUCGAUACGGGCAGACUAGAGUGCGGUAGGGGAGACUGGAAUUCCUGGUGUAGCGGUGAAAUGCGCAGAUAUCAGGAGGAACACCGGUGGCGAAGGCGGGUCUCUGGGCCGUAACUGACGCUGAGACGCGAAAGCGUGGGGAGCGAACAGG
This 253-nucleotide ribosomal RNA is filed under the name uncultured bacterium. RNAcentral's name for it is "partial 16S ribosomal RNA". It matches the Rfam family "Bacterial small subunit ribosomal RNA", at positions 524 to 776 of the family's 1533-position model. The record is from RNAcentral.